This 480-nucleotide ribosomal RNA is filed under the name uncultured bacterium. RNAcentral describes it as "bacterial SSU rRNA". It matches the Rfam family "Bacterial small subunit ribosomal RNA", at positions 1050 to 1529 of the family's 1533-position model. The record is from RNAcentral.
UGUCGUCAGCUCGUGUCGUGAGAUGUUGGGUUAAGUCCCGCAACGAGCGCAACCCUUAUCUUCAGUAGCCAGCAGGUAAAGCCGGGCACUCUGGAGAGACUGCCGGGGAUAACCCGGAGGAAGGUGGGGAUGACGUCAAAUCAUCAUGCCCCUUAUGAUUUGGGCUACACACGUGCUACAAUGGCGUGAACAGAGGGAAGCGAGCCCGCGAGGGGGAGCAAAUCCCAAAAAUAACGUCCCAGUUCGGAUUGUAGUCUGCAACCCGACUACAUGAAGCUGGAAUCGCUAGUAAUCGCGGAUCAGAAUGCCGCGGUGAAUACGUUCCCGGGUCUUGUACACACCGCCCGUCACACCAUGGGAGUCGGAAAUGCCCGAAGUCUGUGACCUAACCGCAAGGGAGGAGCAGCCGAAGGCAGGUCGGAUGACUGGGGUGAAGUCGUAACAAGGUAGCCGUAUCGGAAGGUGCGGCUGGAUCACCUC